This 253-nucleotide ribosomal RNA is filed under the name uncultured bacterium. RNAcentral describes it as "partial 16S ribosomal RNA". It matches the Rfam family "Bacterial small subunit ribosomal RNA", at positions 524 to 776 of the family's 1533-position model. The record is from RNAcentral.
UACGUAGGGACCGAGCGUUGUCCGGAUUCAUUGGGCGUAAAGAGCUCGGAGGCGGCCACUCAAGUCGAAUGUGAAACCUCGAGGCUUAACCUCGAGCCUGCAUUCGAUACUGGGCGGCUAGAGUCUGGUAGGGGGAUCUGGAAUUCCUGGUGUAGCGGUGGAAUGCGCAGAUAUCAGGAGGAACACCGGUGGCGAAGGCGGGAUCCUGGGCAUUAACUGACGCUGAGGAGCGAAAGCAUGGGGAGCGAACAGG